This is a non-coding RNA of Nicotiana tabacum (common tobacco), 4047 nucleotides long. NCBI's taxonomy places the organism in Eukaryota, Viridiplantae, Streptophyta, Magnoliopsida, Solanales, Solanaceae. The record is from RefSeq and is a predicted model, not a curated record.
UUCUAGAACUGUCCACACUUUCAUCUCCUUUCCUAACUCUCUCACUUUCCCUUCAUCUUCUCGGCUUGGAGUUUUACCACAAUUUUUUCUUAAAUCUUCUUCCACUUUUUUCAGUUCAUCCUCCUCUCUUUCAAUCUUCUGUUCAUUACUUUUUUUUAAGGGAUUUCUUCCUAUUUUAUCAGUUUCUUGCUUGAAGUAUCUACAUUUAUGGGUCUUCUACUUUGGGUAUUACAAGGUUCAGGUUUGUACUCAAAAGAUAGAAAUAUAUUUACUUGCCAUGGUCAUGGAAGACUCAAUGCUCCUCCUCCAUCACUCUCAGAAAGGUUAUGAAUUAUCUAUAUUGAAUAGGAGCAAGCUCUCAUGAAGAAUACAAAGUAGUGGAUGUUUUUAGCAAGGUGCAAAUACUUGCAAUACUCUAUAUGACUCGUAAUUAGACUAUGUAAUUUCUAUUGUUCAUAGGUGGUAUAGCACUGAUAGCAACAUAAUACGUCUGGUUAAUCAUGUGGUAUAGAAUGAUAGGUAGGAAAUGAACAAGUAGUCAUAUGCUUGGAUUUGAUUUUGUAAAUGAUUUUAAAAGAAAAGCACAACAAAAUACAAUAUUUUGCUCGGUUCUACACAUGCCGGGCCCCUGGGGAGGUAAAUAUGAAUUUCUACGUCUCUCACUAUUUACUGAGAAUGGAACUGUUCUUUUUGUUGGUGAUAUGGUUAUUCUAAAUUAUUUAUUGCUAUUUAUAAUUGCAAUCAAGUAUAAAUAUGCGUCCAUACACAGUUAAAAUUAUAUCACAACUCAAAUUAUUAGACUCUCGAUCAAAAUUAUAGACUCAAAUUAUUGAACUCUUGUAUAAUUGUUGGGCCCGUGCUAUGCACGGGAAAUACUCAUGCCAAGGGAUGGUCGACCACUGCUCUGAAGAGUUGUACAAAAAGCUAUGUUAGUUGUACUAUGUACUUGGCUUUAUCCAAUUUCUUCACCUUUUGCCACGUGUAUUAGCACUUUCCUUUCUUUUUGGCCACCUAUGCUGACGGAGCUAUCGAGAAUCAUCUAUGUGCUCUCUGUUUCGAAGACUACUAUCCAUCAUCUUUUAAAAUUCCUUUUUUGUCAAAGAAGAAUCCAGUUAUUUCAUCCGCCAUGAAAUUAAAAAAUCUGAAGAGAACUGGAGGAAUAUUUAGGCAAAAAUUGAAAGGAAAGGAGCUUAAAUAUAAACAUUAAAACUGUAACUACGUUUGAUGGUAUUAAAAUGUUCACUCAUGGGCAGAUGGUAAACUUAAUCAUAUAAAUUCAUUGAGGACAUUUAGAACAUAGAGUUAGUUUCUUUUAAUAUUUUUUUACCUGAAGCACCCUAGAAAUGGUUGCACAGAGCUCAAAUGAGUGUUCACCAAUAGUAGCAUCAUAGGUGAUUUAUAGAAGAUAAAAAUAAUGACAAAAUAAAAAGAAAAAUGUAAAAGUUAAGAUUAAUUUUAAAUAUUUUUACUACCAUAAUUAUUUGUAUAUAUUGAUACCUAGCUCUGCUUAUCAUGUUAUUUGAGUUAAUUUAGUUAGAUCAUUGGUUCCAUACUUGUGAUUUUUUUUCUAGAUUAUGCUUUAAAUAAACAUGUCAAAUCUGCUUAAGACUCUUCCCUGGUUUUAUCACUUUUUAUCUGUAAAAGAUGAAGGAAGUAUUAGAAAACUUUUUUUUCCCCUGCUCUCCGCAAAGCUACUUUUUCAUCAAAUUUUCAGGAGUAGUAGCUGAAGUUUAGUUCUCUGAUUUCAUUGGUAGUUGUGGAUGUAAAUAUGAUUUAAUAACAAAUUAAUGAAAUUUUGUUUGGAUAUCCUUAUAUAUUUUUACUUCCUUCAAUCGUUCUUUUUUGUUUGCCUUUAUUCUAAAGAUAGAAGAGUAUAAUGGAAGCCCUGUUUGUUAUUUGUUAGGAUACACUGAUAGUUUUGUGUUUUAGUCCUUUUCCUCUUUCAGGAAGAAAAUGAUGCAAAAUUAUUACAAGGGAUAUGUGUUCUUAAUUCAAUCAAAGUUUCACAAAGAAUAGUUUGAUCUUCUUCUUCUUUUCUGGAUUUGAUCUUGUUGCUAAUUUUUGAAUGAAUGUUUAUUGUGCUUUGGUUUUUUCAAGGCUCAGGAAAAUAAUUUUCAACUUUAUAACUGGUUAAAUGUGAAUUUUUUAGGGUUCAUGAAUAAUACUUUUCAUUCAGCCUUAUAAAUAGCGAAUUGCUAAAAUUGUUAGCCAACACAAUUCUCUUCUCCCAAAGCAUUAUUUGAGUGGGAGGCUGGCAUUUUAACAUGAGCUACUAUUUCAUUUAUGCAUCAUCCUAGCUACCGAAUAACAAGACUAUCUUAUGACAAUGCAUCUUGGGGUGCGGGGUGGGGGAAGUAAUAAAUGACAUAAUUAUUCGAGCAUGUAAUUCCUUCUGAUAUAAUACAAUAUAAAAAGGUUGUAUUUUUUUACCCACCAAUUAAGGAACUCAUGAGAUUAGACAGCCUUAAAACUGAUCCAGUUUGACUAAGUUAAAUGGUAUGGUAUGCUGUUUGUUGCGCAUCAUGGAGCUUUAAUUUCUUUCCCUACUUCCCAAUCAUAGGCAAGGAACCUGAAACUUGGAGUUGCAACAUAAGUUUUUCUUAGAAAGCUAGAACAACAACUCUAGGCCGUUUCUCUUUUGUUCUAGAGUUCCCUGCUACUGGGAUAUGCAUCUUUUUCUUAUUUCUUUUCACAAAUUAAUGAAGGCUUUGGAAGAUUUGAUUAUACUAUGAAACCUUAAUUACAUGUUAGGCAUAUCCCAAAAUUUUUCUGAUCAAACAUGGUGAAUAUUCUAGCAUGGAUGCAUAAUCUUUCUUACCUUCAGGAGUCGUCCGAGUUCCCCAGUGCUUAUGAGGAAGUGUGUGGUCCAGGUAAUAUUUGGGUUGAAGCUUGAAAUAACACAAAUAUAAUAUCAAUAAGUGCGAGAUGAUUUGGUGUUAAAAGGUUAUUUUCCUUCCUUCUGCAAGGAUAAAAGGUUGUUUUCCUUCCUUUUUGCUCCCAUUGUUCGUAUCAAAGUUAAUAAAGCAGUUUCUUUGUGGUAGCUAUUCAAAACAAAUUUAUUCUUUCAUAUUUGCUCCAAACUACAUAAUUGAAUUUACAAAAUGGCAUUUAUUCUGUGUAUUUGCAGGUAAGAACAUAUAAAUACAAAUAGUCUACCUCAAAUUGUUGGGCCCGUGCUCCACGGGCAUCAAACAUCUAGUCUAUUAUAUUGAAGAGCCAUAAUGGUCGAUCAAGGGUAUUUCAGUAAUUUCAUGACUGAUUUAAAUUACUGAUUUAAGUUAAAUUUUUAUUACUUUGGUAACACACAUGUACAUAAUUCAUCUAGAAUUCUCUAGAGCUCAGUUCUCCAACUAGCUUUCUUUCACCAUUAAUUUGUUCAAUCAUCUGUUGAUCUGCCAUUGAUGGCGAGUUCUAGCAGCAAUCUUCUACCAUUACUUCAUUACUAUUGACCUUUCUCUAUAAUUUUUGCUUAUCCUUCGUAUCCUCUUUAGGGAUUUCCUGUUGCCUUUGAUUUGCUUGGUCUUAUCCUCUUCUAAUCUUUGCUUUGGCAUAAUAGUAUCCCCAUGGUUAGCAUCUUCCAGAGUUGAAACCAGAGGUGAAUAGACGAGGUAUAAUUUUCUAUGGUUCCUUGUAAGGUUAAUUUUUUUUCCAGUUUUUCCACUACUUAUGCUUAGACUCAUACGAAGGGAAUUGUCAAGCAUUUUGGACUACUUUUCCUCAUCAAGGAAAUGAUAUAGAAGCUCGAGAUUCGACUCAAUGUGCUAGAAUUGAUGAGGCAUUGUGCUCUUGACAUAGGUGGUUUAACGAAUUAAGAAGCAAUCGGAUUUCGAAUACAACUAUGUGUUUCACAAUUUGGUAUAAAGUUGUGCGCUACUGCUUGCUUAGUAUCUGUGCCGAUCAAAGCCAAUGCUCUUAUAGUCCAUUUUUUCCCUCACCAAGUUCCGUGUUUUCAGAUGUUUCUCUUUUGAUUUUUCUUCUAAACUUCCUGUUGAAUGAGGUUUGAAGUUGAUCCAUGAUCCGAAAUGACAGCUUCUUAUUUUUACUUUC